GCAAAGAGGAUAGAAAUGACAGUGGAACAGAAAAGAGAUCAUGGAGAUAGACCGUCAGACAGAUGGAAAUUUGUAGAGAGAAUAUCCCAAGUUGACCUUUCAUCCAGACUCCAAGGAUCUGAAGAGAUGGCCCUCUGACCGUAUUUAGGAUCAGGAAGUGGAUUAACUAUCAGCAAGGGUGACCAAUGAGGGUAAAAUUUCAUCAUUUGGAGAGUUCACUUGUGCAGGAAAGUUUAUUUGCUGAUGUUGCCAGGUUUUCUUUAGGAGCUGUCUGCAUAUGAUGGUUGACACAAAGACCUGAAGUUCUGUGUGGAUGAUGAGCAAUAAGCACUUCAACUUAGGGUGUUGCCAGGUUCCGCUGGCCUGCUGAGAGAUCACUGUUCUUCACUGUGGACUCAAACUACGCAGAGAUGCUUUUUCUGAAAGAGAUUUGAGGAACAAAAUGUUUUGAUGAUGCCAUUUUCCCUGGGCGCUGUAUAUGGUCACAACGGUUUUUGUG
This is a non-coding RNA of Manis javanica (Malayan pangolin), 499 nucleotides long. The record is from RefSeq and is a predicted model, not a curated record. NCBI's taxonomy places the organism in Eukaryota, Metazoa, Chordata, Mammalia, Pholidota, Manidae.